UCCCCUCUUAGGAAUGACUGGAAAACCUGACUCCAUGGUUUGGGACACUGUACUUCACCUGCGACUCAGCACCUGAUCACUCUAGAGGUUUGUCUGGAAGUACCAUGAAACACCAUGCCUGAACCAAGACUUUAACUUGGAGAAGCGGGACAGCUGGAUGGAGCUCUCCAUUAAAAUAUUGUUGUUCCAGGUUUUAGUCAAUGACACUAUUGCAACCAUCUUGUACGGUGAGAGGACAAGCCUGAGAACAACAAAAAUGGAUGAGGAUGACAAAAAAGAAAGAUGAAAAGACCUGCCUUCUUGAUCAUUUAACUGCUGAAUUAAAUAAUCCUGAAUCUACUCUACCCAACCCCCACAUUGAUAGGGAUCAGUGCUUGCCUGCGUCUUCAGUGUGGGUCAUCAUGGAUCAAUGCUGUGGUUGAAGAAGUUCAGAGAACAGAGAAAGCAGUUGGAGCUGCAGCUGUCUGUUUUAUCUGAUGCACAAAACUAGGAUCUCUGAUUGAGAGUAUGCUUUGACACCAGUAGCAGAGGAUGUGAGCAAAGCAACUUUCAGGCAUCAGAAGUGUCAGCAGAAGGAAAAAUCAGCACAAGUAGAAUGCAUCAAGGAUUUCAACAUCUAAAAUCCUUGAAGUUGAGCCACCGUUUCUUUUCCUCCAUUCGAAUUACUUAUGCACCCAGGUGCAGAGAGGCAAUCAAGGUCAACACAUUAGAAAU
Molecule: long non-coding RNA, 714 nt
Organism: Talpa occidentalis (Iberian mole)
Lineage: Eukaryota; Metazoa; Chordata; Mammalia; Eulipotyphla; Talpidae
Exons: 6
Source: RefSeq, a predicted model, not a curated record